This 581-nucleotide long non-coding RNA is filed under the name Selaginella moellendorffii. RNAcentral describes it as "long non-coding RNA (SMOE_LNC002146)". Lineage: Eukaryota; Viridiplantae; Streptophyta; Lycopodiopsida; Selaginellales; Selaginellaceae. The record is from RNAcentral.
GCCAGAUAGGUUUCUCCAGAGUCAAGAGCAUCAUAAGCCAGGAAUCAAGCAAGUGCAAAAUUGUGGAAGUAUGGUCGAAGUCUACACCGCGGCUUGCAACACAGGUUGUUUGACAGGAUGGGACGAAGAACAGGAUAGGUUGGUCUGACAAAGAAACACGACGUUGGUUGCCUGGAACACGAUCAUCAUGGGACAUGCACGUCUUCUAUCAGAUGCAACGAGAAGCUGGCCUGCCUCCAAACGCUGAGACUUUGCAUGGAGCAGCAAAACGUCGUUUCCUGGGAACAACCUUUGCUCUUGACUGCUACGAGCAAGCCGCAGCCAAACGCUCAGACUUUCAUGGUGGCGCUCAAGGCACGCGGCGACUUAGCAGAGAAGAGCAGAUCUGGGAGAGAAAUCUGGAGGGAAUCCACUACUCAGCGUGGUCGCUCAAUGAGAGAAAAGCUUUUCUUGGGAGGUCGGUAAACUUUGCAAGGAAAGAGUGUCAUGCAAGGUUGAUGGAGCCGUCAAUUAAAGAUGGUACCUCAAAAGAUGCGAAAGGAUCCUAGCUGGCACACCUUGGUGAAGAGAUAAAAAAUAUG